RNAcentral lists this ribosomal RNA (558 nucleotides) under Aspergillus sp. Its description in RNAcentral is "partial large subunit ribosomal RNA". It matches the Rfam family "Eukaryotic large subunit ribosomal RNA", at positions 38 to 599 of the family's 3401-position model. Lineage: Eukaryota; Fungi; Ascomycota; Eurotiomycetes; Eurotiales; Aspergillaceae. The record is from RNAcentral.
GCAUAUCAAUAAGCGGAGGAAAAGAAACCAACCGGGAUUGCCUCAGUAACGGCGAGUGAAGCGGCAAGAGCUCAAAUUUGAAAGCUGGCUCCUUCGGAGUCCGCAUUGUAAUUUGCAGAGGAUGCUUUGGGUGCGGCCCCCGUCUAAGUGCCCUGGAACGGGCCGUCAGAGAGGGUGAGAAUCCCGUCUUGGGCGGGGUGUCCGUGCCCGUGUAAAGCUCCUUCGACGAGUCGAGUUGUUUGGGAAUGCAGCUCUAAAUGGGUGGUAAAUUUCAUCUAAAGCUAAAUACUGGCCGGAGACCGAUAGCGCACAAGUAGAGUGAUCGAAAGAUGAAAAGCACUUUGAAAAGAGAGUUAAACAGCACGUGAAAUUGUUGAAAGGGAAGCGCUUGCGACCAGACUCGCCCGCGGGGUUCAGCCGGCAUUCGUGCCGGUGUACUUCCCCGUGGGCGGGCCAGCGUCGGUUUGGGCGGCCGGUCAAAGGCCCCUGGAAUGUAGUGCCCUCCGGGGCACCUUAUAGCCAGGGGUGCAAUGCGGCCAGCCUGGACCGAGGAACGCG